UGGGGAAUAUUGGACAAUGGGGGCAACCCUGAUCCAGCAAUGCCGCGUGUGUGAAGAAGGCCUGAGGGUUGUAAAGCACUUUCAGUGGGGAGGAGGAUUGAGAGGUUAAGAGCCACUUUAAUCGGACGCUACCCACAGAAGAAGCACCGGCUAACUCCGUGCCAGCAGCCGCGGUAAUACGGAGGGUGCGAGCGUUAAUCGGAAUUACUGGGCGUAAAGGGUUCGUAGGUGGUUAACCAAGUUAUCUGUGAAAUCCCUGGGCUUAACCUGGGAAGGUCAGAUAAAACUGGGGGACUCGAGUAUUGGAGAGGGUAGUGGAAUUUCCGGUGUAGCGGUGAAAUGCGUAGAGAUCGGAAGGAACACCAGUGGCGAAGGCGGUUACCUGGCCACAUACUGACACUGAGGAACGAAAGCGUGGGGAGCAAACAG
Molecule: ribosomal RNA, 429 nt
Filed under: uncultured bacterium
Lineage: Bacteria
Description: bacterial SSU rRNA
Rfam family: Bacterial small subunit ribosomal RNA
Source: RNAcentral